ACGAACGCUGGCGGCGUGCUUAACACAUGCAAGUCGAACGGAAAGGCCCUGCUUUUGUGGGGUGCUCGAGUGGCGAACGGGUGAGUAACACGUGAGUAACCUGCCCUUGACUUUGGGAUAACUUCAGGAAACUGGGGCUAAUACCGGAUAGGAGCUCCUGCUGCAUGGUGGGGGUUGGAAAGUUUCGGCGGUUGGGGAUGGACUCGCGGCUUAUCAGCUUGUUGGUGGGGUAGUGGCUUACCAAGGCUUUGACGGGUAGCCGGCCUGAGAGGGUGACCGGCCACAUUGGGACUGAGAUACGGCCCAGACUCCUACGGGAGGCAGCAGUGGGGAAUAUUGCACAAUGGGCGGAAGCCUGAUGCAGCAACGCCGCGUGCGGGAUGACGGCCUUCGGGUUGUAAACCGCUUUCGCCUGUGACGAAGCGUGAGUGACGGUAAUGGGUAAAGAAGCACCGGCUAACUACGCG
Molecule: ribosomal RNA, 467 nt
Filed under: uncultured bacterium
Lineage: Bacteria
Description: partial 16S ribosomal RNA
Rfam family: Bacterial small subunit ribosomal RNA
Source: RNAcentral